UUUCCGUAGGUGAACCUGCGGAAGGAUCAUUAAUGAGUUGUCAUGGGGUUCGAUGCUGGCAGCCAGUUUUUGGAUGCAUGUGCUUGCCCUAACAAUCAUCUUCUUCCAAACACCUGUGCACAUUUUUGAGGGAGUCUUGAGUUGGUUGCCGCUCUUGGGUGAUUUUCUCACAUUCCCUUAAAUCAUUAUACGCUAUUAACAAUGUUGAACGUGCUCUGUGCCGCAAGGCCAUUAAUAUAAUACAACUUUUAACAACGGAUCUCUUGGCUCUCGCAUCGAUGAAGAACGAAGC
Molecule: unclassified non-coding RNA, 292 nt
Filed under: plant metagenome
Description: partial contains small subunit ribosomal RNA, internal transcribed spacer 1, and 5.8S ribosomal RNA
Rfam family: 5.8S ribosomal RNA (bases 244-292)
Source: RNAcentral